UACGUAGGGGGCUAGCGUUGUCCGGAAUUACUGGGCGUAAAGGGUGCGCAGGCGGCCUCUUAAGUCAGAUGUGAAAUCCCCGGGCUUAACCUGGGAACUGCGUUUGAAACUGGGAGGCUUGAGUGUGGAAGAGGGGGGUGGAAUUCCAGGUGUAGCAGUGAAAUGCGUAGAGAUCUGGAGGAACACCGAUGGCGAAGGCAGCCCCCUGGGCUGACACUGACGCUGAUGCACGAAAGCGUGGGGAGCAAACAGG
Molecule: ribosomal RNA, 253 nt
Filed under: uncultured bacterium
Lineage: Bacteria
Description: partial 16S ribosomal RNA
Rfam family: Bacterial small subunit ribosomal RNA
Source: RNAcentral